Molecule: RNase P RNA, 323 nt
Filed under: Synergistaceae bacterium
Lineage: Bacteria; Thermotogati; Synergistota; Synergistia; Synergistales; Synergistaceae
Description: RNase P RNA component class A
Rfam family: Bacterial RNase P class A
About the family: Ribonuclease P (RNase P) is a ubiquitous endoribonuclease, found in archaea, bacteria and eukarya as well as chloroplasts and mitochondria. Its best characterised activity is the generation of mature 5'-ends of tRNAs by cleaving the 5'-leader elements of precursor-tRNAs.
Source: RNAcentral
GAAGUAUUUCAUCCAGUCGCUGUCGGCCCAAUGCCGAUGGAGGAAAGUCCGGGCUCCGCAGGGCAGGGUGCAGGAGAAACUCCUGUGGGUGCGAACUCAAGGAAAGUGCCACAGAAAACAAACCGCUUCCCCGUUUCAAGGGGCAGCAAGGGUGAAAAGGCGAGGCAAGAGCUCACCGGACGCGCGGCGACGCGCGCGCCUGGCAAACCCCACCCGGAGCAAGAUCGAAUAGGGGAGGUUGACGCGGCCCGCCGACUCCCGGGUACGAUCGCACAGAUAAAUGACUGGGCACGACAGAACCCGGCUUACGAAAUGCUUCCGCU